This 718-nucleotide long non-coding RNA is filed under the name Daucus carota (carrot). RNAcentral describes it as "long non-coding RNA (DCAR_LNC005072)". The record is from RNAcentral. Lineage: Eukaryota; Viridiplantae; Streptophyta; Magnoliopsida; Apiales; Apiaceae.
GGGUCACUGGCAGACACAACUGACUUUUUCUGAAACUUUUGGGUGUCCUUUUGCUGUUCAGAAUUAGCCUGUGGGGACAUAGUUAUAAACAUCAUUAAUAUUAUCUCAUCUUCAUCCAGGUUAAGAGACAAGAAGAUUACUUGAGAAUAGAAAGAUUGCAAGCGUUUUUUGUUCAUUAAUAUUACUGCUCUAUGCAGCUGCUUAGUUAUAUACCAUUGACGUGAAUCAAAUAAUGUUUUGUCCGAAGGCUUUCUGUUUUUCUGCCAAAGGAUAUAUUUGAACUCAGGCUUCACCGAGAUGGAUAGGAACCUAUUGCAUUAUUAGUGGUAGGAACCUGUCCUUAAACUUGUAUACCAAGUAAACCCAAGUAAAAAAUCAAGUAUUUUAAAUUCAGGUUCUCUAUAGUAAAGUGCUGAUCGCCAUUUGCAGUUAAUCGUGGCUAAAGAUUCACCUAAAGAAAAUGAUUAGCACCUAUAGUGGAAAUGGAUUUCUAUACAAAGUUCUCAUUUGACACAUGUAUUGGUCUCUAACUAAAGGAUAACAGAGGUGGGCCUGAUUUACUUUACAAAAUAUACAUCCAGUGCAUUUCCACUCAUUUAUCCGUUUCAUCUUUUUAUCGUUAUAUUGGACUGUUUUUUUAAUAAAAAUUUGUAAAAUGUAUGAUUUCACAUACAGUUGCCUGAACUCAUAUGUGGAACACAGAUUUUUUUUAAGGGUG